Molecule: long non-coding RNA, 256 nt
Filed under: Panax ginseng (ginseng)
Lineage: Eukaryota; Viridiplantae; Streptophyta; Magnoliopsida; Apiales; Araliaceae
Description: long non-coding RNA (PGIN_LNC018144)
Source: RNAcentral
UCCAAUGCUCCAACUGAGAUUAAAAAUAAGGACACAGCGUCCGCUAAUAUUACUAGCGAACGAACUAAACAAAAAUGUCAGACUAUUAUACCCCAAGUGACCAAACUCAACUCAUUCAUGGAGGACAAAGUUGGUUCAUAUACUGAAACAGCUGACGGACCAACUAUGGCCAAGCAGAAAAUUUGAGUAAAAUCCAUAACACAAACCACAUCGAUGAAGAAAAACACGGCCCCUCAGUUCAGAUCGUAGUUUUCCU